RNAcentral lists this ribosomal RNA (255 nucleotides) under uncultured bacterium. Its description in RNAcentral is "partial 16S ribosomal RNA". It matches the Rfam family "Bacterial small subunit ribosomal RNA", at positions 524 to 776 of the family's 1533-position model. The record is from RNAcentral.
UACGUAGGGUGCAAGCGUUGUCCGGAAUUAUUGGGCGUAAAGAGCUCGUAGGCGGUUUGUCGCGUCGGCUGUGAAAUCCCCGAGGCUCAACCUUGGGCUUGCAGUGGGUACGGGCAGACUAGAGUGCGGUAGGGGUGACUGGAAUUCCUGGUGUAGCGGUGGAAUGCGCAGAUAUCAGGAGGAACACCGAUGGCGAAGGCAGGUCACUGGGCCGCAACUGACGCUGGAGGUGCGAAAGCGUGGGGAGCAAACAGG